Molecule: unclassified non-coding RNA, 6750 nt
Filed under: Venturia canescens
Lineage: Eukaryota; Metazoa; Arthropoda; Insecta; Hymenoptera; Ichneumonidae
Description: mediator of RNA polymerase II transcription subunit 1, transcript variant X4
Source: RNAcentral
UGCAAAACUUGCAAAACAUUUGCACUGGUUUUCGGAUGGGCAGAAGGUGUGUUGCAUAGAGAUACGAGAGAAAAUAAUGCUUCCAGCUGGAAAAUUUAAUUAAUUGGUCGACAUUAGUAUUGUCCACGAAUUCUCUUUCUUCGUAAACGCUUUCUGCGAGCUUCGUAUUUCAUUCGUUUCUCUAUCUCGUACACAUCUUGAUACACAUCGCAUGAGUGAAUCGAAUAUUGCUAAGUGACCUGUGACUGAAUAACAUUUUCAACUCGUUUGAUGAACAAUCGUCCGUGCGGAUGUGUUUAUAUCCGGGUGCGCCAAAUAAAAAUUACGAAAAUGUGUGAAAGUUAGUGCAGGCUUUUUUCCAACGACACACAGUGCCAGGGGCACGCUAAGCAAAAAUAUAACUUUCGGAGGAAAUUUUCAUACAACGUUAUGAUGUAGUGUUUCUCGAUGGCGGUUUUCGGUGUUUCUCCCCACGAAUAAUCAGUUUUUCGUGCGCUAAAUACAUCCGUGUUUGCCCUUUGAGGGAUACAUGGAUGCAGCGAACGGCCAAAAGCCCCUCGCUGGGCCUGUGCCCAUCGGAGGUGGCAAUGGCACGGAUAAAAGUAAAGAAUGGCAGAUGGAAUUACUCAUGGAAAAGCUGCGCUCGAAAGGGUCUGCUUUCAAAACACUUGUGGAAACAGCAAAAAAUCUCAGGAUGGCUAUGCUGGACAAAAGAUUUGCUAUUGACAGCGUAGAAAAAAAUCAGCUACAGAAAUGUUUGGAUACUCUUCAACACUCCAUAAAAGUAACUUCGCUCCAGUCAAUGGUGGAGCGAUUGGAAAGUCUUAGCAGACAAUUAGGUUUGAAGUUCAUGUCGGGUCCUGCCGGUACAGAACUUUUCAUCACUUCGGACAUGUUCUUUGUGGAAAUUCUUUUGGAAACAACAGGCGUUGUGAAAGAUGUGAAAAUUCAUCACGAAGGAAAAACUGAACAACAGAGUGGAGAAGAAUUAGUUGCUUGUCUAUCGCGCGGAGACUUUGUUGACUUUACGGCACAGUUAGAAGGUCUAGCAUCAAAUUACCAACUCAAUGCUGACAAAAAAGUCAAGUGCAAGGCCUUCAGCGCGCUUCAAUCUCUCGAAGCGGAUCUUGGUGUAUUGGCCCAGUUACAAACUUUCAUGAAAGAGCCUUUCAAUCUCGUGCACAAAAGUCCAGUUGGUAUUUUAGAAAGGCGAAAAGGUGGUCAUGCCAUGAAACUCACUUACUUCGUAUCUCCUUACGAUCUGAUCAACCAAGAAAACCGAAUUUGCGAUCAGCUCAGUCCAGAAAUCGUCAUGACGAGGAAAAUUGGUCACUCUGUAACAAUUUGUAUGGAAGGUUCUGCAUCACACAAACUGCCAACUUCGAGUAUAAUCACCGUCAACAGGAGUCCAACUGGGAAAAGUACACCUUCCUACGCACCUUUGACAAGUGCGAACUCGUCAAUGUUGCCAGCUUGUUUCGUUCUCAAAUUGGCCAAGAAAAUGCCAAUGUGUAUGGAGCUUGUACAGAGAAUACAAAAAGUAACGGAGCUUGAUUGCGGCGACGUUUCGGCUCCUCAUCCACUUUUAAGUCUCAUCGUUCAACACGCGAGUGGUGGGCAGUUGGAUUGUCGAAACAACCGGGGACUUUACGUGACGCUGCCGGAUCAGCAGCACUGUUACUUCAUGACGGAGAACAAGAGUAUGGAAGGCGUAUUGGUCGGGAGUAUACCAUUCACACACCCAGCGCACGUGCCCCAAAUAUUGGUGUAUUUGCGUCAGCAGGCAUUAUUUAACACGUUAUUGAACAGUUGCGUGCGAUCGAUGGCGCGUCAGGAGCUCGAGCACACGACAAUGUUCGAGGUGAGCGCACUGUCGUGGCAGCAUAUAUCGGUGAGUCUGGAGCAUCCAUUCGAGGAGACAAUGGCAACGGCGGAGUUGGAUUUGACGGACAUAUCGGCUGUGAAAUGCAAAUUGUACGGUGUGAGUAUGAAUAACACCGAAGCGACAUCGGAUUUGGUUGGCAAAGUGUUGCAAAGGUGCCUUAGUAUACCGUUAACGAUGAGAACGUUGAUAAAAACGUGGGAAGGUCGAACGAGCACGUUGCCGUUGGCAAGUUUGGGUGGAAACAACGGUAGUACGGGCGGUGGAACGCCGAACGGUGGAAAUUACGGCGUUGGUAAUUUAGGAUCCGGACAAAAUGGCCACGAGAACAACGGUCAAACGGGAAUGCCGGAUUUCAGCAACGGUACUGAGCCGAAACUGAAACAAGAGCCCGGUUUAAACGGAAGCAAUGGUAACGCAGCGACGGCGAGGAACCAAACCCCGCAACCGUUGCAGCAGCAGCAGCAGCAGCAGCAGCAACCUCCUCCACAACAACAACAGUCUCAACAGCAGCAGCAACAGCAGUUACCACAGCAACAGCCGCAACAACAACCACAGCAACAGCAGCAGCAGCAGCAACAACAACAACAAUCACAACAGCAUUUUUUAGAUGCCGGAACGGAGAAUAGUAUCGGUUUUCCGUCGUUUUCCGGCCAGUCCGAUACAACAAACACACCUGCGAUGCUGAAUCCAUUGCAAUUAGGCGCUCUGCUUAGCCAAAGCAAGAGCAGUUCACCUGUCGGUGGACUUUCGACCUCGAGUCAGUCAUCCUCUGGCGAAAGACCGAAGAAAACGCGCAAGCGUAAAACAGCCGAUGGCAUUUGGCGCAGUCCGAAAAGUAAAGGGGACGAUUCUGGAGAAAUUUUGUUGGAAAGUUCGAGUUCGGAUUCGACACCGCUGGGCACACCGACGGGGAGAGACAACGCGAACGGCACGAGAACUCCGACCCCAACGUCGGUUGCCGUCAGCCUCGUAAGUGGUCUCGACAUCACGAAUCUUGAUUCCAGCGAGAUCAUAUCCGGCGACACUCGGAGCUCCGAUUACGACGUUGAAGCUGAGAGCGAAGUCAUGGAAGUUCACGAUUUACCGGAUGAUUAUGGUGACGUUAUGAAGAGAGAAAAGAAGUCACGAAAAAAUCGAGAAGACAAAAAGAGUCCGAGCUUGUUCGAGGAGAACAAGGCUUCCAGUUUGGUUCCCCCUUCCGUCAGCAUAACUCCCAUUUCUAGUGCUAAUAUCGGUCAAUCUCCCAAUUACAAUUCCGUACUUACCGGUAUGGGCUUAGAGCGACGACCUGGAAUAGAAAUCAUACCAAUAUCUUCAACACCGCAAACAACUUUACCGAGUUCCAUAACGAUCACUCCGAUUGCAAAUCCAUCUAUAAAAUCUAUGAGCAGCGAGGAGCGUCGCGAUCGUAAGAGCAAACCAAGCAGCGACGAAAAAGGAAGAUUGGAGAAAAAGCGAAAACGAAAACGCGAGGACAGCCCCAUGGGACCACCGGACAAAUUGCCACCGAAACAACCGCCCCAAGACGCUCUGUCUAAACCCGUCUCCGUCAGCAUAAAACCAACCGAAACACAGCCGAACGUGAGCUCGAGGCCUUCCUCUCCAGCGACGAUGGUCAGAAAAUUUAAUCCAUCACCGACUCACACGAGCCCUUUAGCUCUAGUGGGCAAAUCGAGUCCUACGCUGAAGCAAAACGUUUCUUCGAGCAACUCGAGCGCUUCUACGUCUUCAUCGGCAGCGACAACGAGCUCGAGCAAAUCGAUACAGAGUCCGAAACAUUCGCCGGUUUAUAACAGCCCGAAACACGCUUCUUCCGGUGGAACGACAAGCGUAAGCCCGAAGCACGGAACUUCCUCACCGAAGCAUGGAAGUUCAACGAGCGCUGGUAAGCCGAGUAUGUCAGCGUUGAAAUCUGCAGCCGCGAAUAAUUCACCAUCUUCUUCGAGCAAGAGUUGCAGCGGCGAGCAAGCCUCCUCGUCGACCGCAACGACUUCGUCGUCUUCGUCCUCGUCCUCGUCAACGAAACCUAAGUCAUCCUCGAGCAAAGAUUCGAGUCGUGACAAAGAGCGUAAAAACAUGUCGUCGUCGUCGUCCUCCUCCACGAGUUUGUCAUUCAGCGGGAGCGGCUCCGGUCGCCAGAGUCCAAAGACUAAAUCGUCGAGCAGCAAGUUGAAACAGUUGGACGCCGCUCCGAGUAACAGCGGCGAGACUCCGCCGACCUCGCUACCGAGCAGCGGCAGCAGUACGCCGCCGUCGGGGAGUUCGGAUCUUGGAAAAUCUGCAACAGCCGCGCAACAACAACAGGCUCGCAAUAGAAAAGGUUCCCUGAGCGCUGUUAUUGAUAAAUUGAAAAAUGCUCAACACUGCACCGACGAAAUUAUUCCUGGGAGCGGCGGUGGCGGCGGUUCCGGAGGGGGAAAUGGCAGCGGAAACCCACAAAAAUCCUCCAGCGGUAACGGAAGUGGCAACGAGAGCGGCGGGGGCAGCUCGAGCCAAAAGGAUCGGGGACAGAGCGGAAGCUCUUCGAGCACGAAAGCUAGCGGCGAAGGUAAAUCCACUAGCAAAAGCAGCAGCCCAUCGAUGGAGGUGAAAAACUCAGCCGAGUACAUGGUCAAGCACAGUUCUGACGGAAUGAAAAUAACGAUCAACAAAACUCGUGCCAAGGACUCGAAAAGCGGUAGCAGUAUGAAAAUAGCAUCGAGCACGGGCUCGACGGUCAGUGGAGCAUUGGGAGUCCCGGUGGCUUCCUCGGGUUCGGGUAACGGAUCACCAAAAACUCACACGGGUCUUAAGCCCGGUGUGAAUUCGGGACCAGCAUCGAAGAAGCCGCAGACGCAGUCGUCGUUGAAGGUUGCGACCCAGAGCACCGGGGUUUCGUCGUCGUCGUCGUUCGGUAACAAAGUUGGUCCGACGAGCGGCAAGAUAUCAUCUUCGACGUCGAAAUCGAGUUCGAGCUCGAGUUCCACCGGCAGCGGUGGUUUAAUAGCGAAGAGCACAACGUCGAAAAUAUCGACGGGGUCUCCGAAGAUGUCGAGUUCCGGUGCUACGGAUUUGAGUAGAAAUCGUGAGAAGCCGCGAACGACGAAAUCAUCGGACAAAAGUGGCAGCGGGGGGAGCAGCGGCGGAGGCUUGUUCGCUUCGAAGGGUACGUCGGAUGCGCGGAAAGCUAGUCCCUCGGCGAUUCGCGAGGAAAGCGAGAGCGAGCGGGCGUUCAAAGUAUUGGCCGCUCACGUGACGCCUUCGGCACUGCCCAAUUUCCCACCUCAAUUGGUCGUCGAAGGUCUCAUUAAGCAGUUGGACACGAAAUUUCAAAUACCGAAAUUAUCCGCGCGGGCUAACGCUUCCGCCGACGUUUCCGACAAGAAAACAAACGCCGAAAAAGCUUCGCAGCCUAUACCGAGCCUCGAGCACCAGAGCACGAAACUCCUCGUCGACAACUUGGCUACCGUUAAAUUGGAACAAACGAAAAUUCCUCCGCAAAGCAAUCCAGCUCCGAGCUCGUUGAGCAAUAAUCCAAAAUCCGCGUCGUCCGCGUCCUCGGUCACGUCCUCUUCCACGGACACAGUCGAAGCGCCUGGUACAAGUAGACGAGAAACGGCACAAGCGAAAAUAGACAAUCUCGCGACGAGCUCGAGUACUCUGCCAAUAAUAAGCCUCGCCGGGGCCAUGAGUCCGGCGAGCCAUUUAUUGUUACAGCCAUCGGGUUCUCUCACUUCGACUACACCACCGUUGACGACACCCGGAGCCCACGAUUUAGACGUACCUACAAAUUUAUCGAUGUCCACGGGGGAAGAUUCGCGGGAUUCGUGCAAAGAGCUGUUGGUUUCGACCCCAUCGACGACGCCGAUCCGAGCAACCUCCGGUGUAGUUAAUUCUCAACAAACCUUUCCCAAAAGCAGUGUAACUAUGAGCAAUCCUCCGACCUCCUGCGUCGUCGUAACCGACGAAAUCGUUCCCAGCAGUGCACUCAGUCACGUCACAGUAGAGUCGCCAGCGAUAGUCGAAACGAGCGUGAUCCCGAAGCCGUCGGUUUAUCCAACCUCGACGGGCGUCACGAGCAGUCCGAUCGUCGGCGCAGUGGCGACAUCGGAAAGCCUUAAUUUGAGUACAAAACCAGCGGAUGCUGCCCUCAGCAAGUACAGCAAGAGUAUCGAGGACGGUAGAAAACCAAUCGACAAACCCGUCGUACCUCCAAAUUCUUCGACACCCUCAGCAUCGAAUUCGCCGAUCGAAGUUUCUUCCAAUAAAGCAGGAACGACGAUAGCCGGCUCCCAGGAAGUAGCCGAAUUGUUGCUGGAUUUUUCAACGCCCAAAGACGUUGCCAAAGUUCCGAUUGCUACGAUACCCGAGAGAGCUAUGAGCCUUCAAUCGGCACCGGUCAGAAGAAACACUCCGCCACCGCCCCCGCCGCCGCCGCCACCCCCGCCAGUUCUCUUCCCACCAAGUCCAUCCGUCAGUGUUCAUAUCGUUAAGAGCCCAGCACCGUCGCCAAGAGUAAUACCACCGUCGCCUCACGCAGCUUCACCGUGCAUCACCGACGACGAACUCAUGGACGAGGCACUCGUCGUUACGAUAGCUCGCGCUUGUUGGCUGAAUGACGUUUUGCCAAAUAACUCGGGAGUUAAAUUGUUUAUCGAACACUCGCAGCUCGAUUCCACAAUAAUCAAAUAAACAGAAACGGUUUACCGAGACGCCACUUUGCCAUUGAGUCUCGAGGAUGAGUCAAGAUAGGCUCGAGCCUCCCAUGGAAAAUCUACAGGUAGUGCUGCUCCUAGAUACUUUAAUUAACUCGUCGGGAUUCUUCAGUGCUUCCUUCGUUCAUACAACUGAGGAGACAAUAAAUACGUAAACAAAUCUACGAGCUA